UAGAUAAAGCUGACUCCAAGACCA
Molecule: non-coding RNA, 24 nt
Filed under: Arabidopsis thaliana (thale cress)
Lineage: Eukaryota; Viridiplantae; Streptophyta; Magnoliopsida; Brassicales; Brassicaceae
Source: RNAcentral